UGGGGCGUAGCCAAGCGGUAAGGCAACGGUUUUUGGUACCGUCAUUCCCUGGUUCGAAUCCAGGCGCCCCAG
RNAcentral lists this transfer RNA (72 nucleotides) under Paramesorhizobium leguminum. RNAcentral's name for it is "Phyllobacterium leguminum tRNA". It matches the Rfam family "tRNA". Rfam says of the family: Transfer RNA (tRNA) molecules are approximately 80 nucleotides in length. Their secondary structure includes four short double-helical elements and three loops (D, anti-codon, and T loops). Further hydrogen bonds mediate the characteristic L-shaped molecular structure. tRNAs have two regions of fundamental functional importance: the anti-codon, which is responsible for specific mRNA codon recognition, and the 3' end, to which the tRNAs corresponding amino acid is attached (by aminoacyl-tRNA synthetases). tRNAs cope with the degeneracy of the genetic code in two manners: having more than one tRNA (with a specific anti-codon) for a particular amino acid; and 'wobble' base-pairing, i.e. permitting non-standard base-pairing at the 3rd anti-codon position. RNAcentral also lists the same sequence under 3 other names. Lineage: Bacteria; Pseudomonadati; Pseudomonadota; Alphaproteobacteria; Hyphomicrobiales; Phyllobacteriaceae. The record is from Rfam by way of RNAcentral.